GCGAUACCACAGCACUGAGGCUCAGUGGGUCUUGGAGCACCUGGCCCUUGGGAAACUACAACAGAGAUACAGGAUUGUUUUCAGUAGUGAGAACACCUCACACCACAGGGCUAUUGCUCUGGAUGACAUCUCCUUCGUGAAUUGCGAGACCUCAUACCAGCCACCAGCUCUGUCAGCUACGGACUGCUCUUUUGAGGAGGGCCUGUGUGCGUGGACACAGGGUAGUG
This is a non-coding RNA of Electrophorus electricus (electric eel), 227 nucleotides long. Lineage: Eukaryota; Metazoa; Chordata; Actinopteri; Gymnotiformes; Gymnotidae. The record is from RefSeq and is a predicted model, not a curated record.